UGCUGGAAUGGCAGGGUCUUGAAUAAUUGGCAGCUCAAAUUGGACUGGAAAACUCUCCCUGGGAUAUUCUUCUGCCAGGUAUGCAGUGGCUCCCUUUUCUACCUUUAAGAAAUUGGGUAUACCUGGUCCUCCCCCAUGGCCAUUUGUUGGAAAUCUUCCUGAAAUAAGCAAGAAGCCUGGUCAGCCAUUUUUAGUUGAAAAGGAAUUAGCUGAAAAAUAUGGAAGAGUUUUUGGGUAUUAUCUUGGACGCAUCCCUGCAUACAUGAUAUCAGAUGUUGACCUUCUUAAGCAGAUUCUUGUCAAAGAAUUCAGUAAAUUUCCCAAUAGACCACUUGCGAAUUUUGGAGGCCAGGGUAUGAGCAGCAGGAAAGGGUUGUUACAACUUGAGGAUGAGGACUGGAGGAGAAUCCGUACAACAAUUACUCCAACAUUUAGUGCUGUUAAAUUGAAGCAGGUUGGUGCUGCCAAUCACUUGAGAUUAGCAAAGGAUCAAACAAACAUAAGGUGUUGGCCUUGAUGUAAAUAACCCAUGGAUAUCUAUGUUAGGAAAUAAUAUUCCCUAUUCCCUCC
Molecule: unclassified non-coding RNA, 570 nt
Filed under: Orbicella faveolata
Lineage: Eukaryota; Metazoa; Cnidaria; Anthozoa; Scleractinia; Merulinidae
Description: cytochrome P450 3A6-like, transcript variant X1
Source: RNAcentral